RNAcentral lists this transfer RNA (76 nucleotides) under Clostridium sp. CAG:452. RNAcentral describes it as "transfer RNA-Gln(CTG)". It matches the Rfam family "tRNA". From Rfam's summary of the family: Transfer RNA (tRNA) molecules are approximately 80 nucleotides in length. Their secondary structure includes four short double-helical elements and three loops (D, anti-codon, and T loops). Lineage: Bacteria; Bacillati; Bacillota; Clostridia; Eubacteriales; Clostridiaceae. The record is from RNAcentral.
UGGGGUGUCGCCAAGCGGUAAGGCAUCGGACUCUGACUCCGACAUCUCGUAGGUUCGAAUCCUACCACCCCAGCCC